UGACUAGAUCCCACACUCGUCCGG
RNAcentral lists this microRNA (24 nucleotides) under Triops cancriformis. Lineage: Eukaryota; Metazoa; Arthropoda; Branchiopoda; Notostraca; Triopsidae. The record is from RNAcentral.